This 703-nucleotide long non-coding RNA is filed under the name Mus spicilegus (steppe mouse). RNAcentral describes it as "lncRNA (ENSMSIG00000006423.1)". The record is from RNAcentral. Lineage: Eukaryota; Metazoa; Chordata; Mammalia; Rodentia; Muridae.
CGUAGAAUUUGCAUUUCCUACUCUACCUGUAGUAAGAACAUUUAAGAAAAUCUCAGGGCUAUGACACAAUAUUGUCAAGUGUAGUCACUCACCAUGCCUAGGAGAAGCGUAGCCACAGUGUCGGGCAUGGCAGCGGGGACAGAAAGCUGAGAGUCUCAGCAUGACACAGAGAGGGCAAGCUGGAAGCUGCAUGAUGUUUUAAACCCUCAAAGCCAGCCUCCAGUGAUGUACCUCCUCCCACAGGCUAUACAUUCUGUACCUCCCCCAAACAGCAACGUCAACUGAGGACCAAGUGUUUAAACAUUUGAGACUGGAGGAUCUUCUCAUUCAAACCACCAUAGGGUUGUACCUUGGAUUCCACACAGAGAUGAUAUCAAGUCAUAUCUAUUUUGCAGAGUCUGGCUUAUCAACAUAAUGUGCCCAGCAUCAUCCACAUGGAGGCUUUAGUUAUAAUCCCCGUGCACUGGUUUGGACCCUGGAAUUCGUUUGAAGAGAUGUAGAUCAUCAGCUGAGUGCCAUGUGCCAACCGUGAGACCCAGACUGAUGUUCGACAUGUUUGUAGUUUUGGGGAAGUUCAGACCCUCACUACAUUUUUCUUCGUGCCAUCCUGAAACCAUCUGUCUGUUUUUGGUUUCAUGGCGUCUUCUACCUUCAGUGGCCAGCUCUUGCCAGGAAUGGAUUUUUUCUGAAGUAUCAAGAGGUC